RNAcentral lists this ribosomal RNA (287 nucleotides) under uncultured Pantoea sp. RNAcentral's name for it is "partial 16S ribosomal RNA". It matches the Rfam family "Bacterial small subunit ribosomal RNA", at positions 46 to 332 of the family's 1533-position model. Lineage: Bacteria; Pseudomonadati; Pseudomonadota; Gammaproteobacteria; Enterobacterales; Erwiniaceae. The record is from RNAcentral.
GCAUCACACACACAAGUGCGGGGGAGCACAGAAAGCUUGUUCUUGGGUGACGAGUGGCGGACGGGUGAGUAAUGUCUGGGGAUCUGCCCGAUAGAGGGGGAUAACCACUGGAAACGGUGGCUAAUACCGCAUAACGUCGCAAGACCAAAGAGGGGGACCUUCGGGCCUCUCACUAUCGGAUGAACCCAGAUGGGAUUAGCUAGUAGGCGGGGUAAUGGCCCACCUAGGCGACGAUCCCUAGCUGGUCUGAGAGGAUGACCAGCCACACUGGAACUGAGACACGGUCC